RNAcentral lists this ribosomal RNA (306 nucleotides) under Triticum aestivum (bread wheat). RNAcentral describes it as "partial small subunit ribosomal RNA". Lineage: Eukaryota; Viridiplantae; Streptophyta; Magnoliopsida; Poales; Poaceae. The record is from RNAcentral.
AUGAUGUGCUGGCCGUUCGCCGGGGAGCAGCAGACCAACUGUCGGUACAAGUACACCGAGUGGGGGAUCGGGAUUGAGAUCGGCGGCGAGGUGAAGCGGGCGGAAGUGGCGGCGAUGAUACGCGAGGCGAUGGUGGGGGGAAAGGGACGGGAGAUGAGGCGGCGCCCCGCGGAGUGGAAGGAAAAGGCCCAGCGUGCGUCGCUGCCAGGUGGGGCCGCGGAGGCCAACCUAGACGAGGUGAUUCGUAGCGUGCUCCUCGCAAGUACAACGCGCCUGCUAAAAAUCAGUCAACUGACAUUUAACUAA